GGUUUUUACGCUACCAGAGAAACAUAAUUUUGCAUCCACAAAUUUCGAAUUCUAUCAAUGUUCUAAUACUUAGAUGCCUUUUCAAAUUUACCCAAGUUGCUAAGCAGAUGCAGGGUAGCACUAAUGAUGUUUCUCUGUAAUUGAAAUCAGUACACCGAUUUCUUGAUUAAAUUGUGCUGCAACUUUUUUCCCCCGAGCAAACUGUGCUGUAACUUUACUCUUGUAUUUAUUUAUGUGGUGUUCAAGUUAAAGGAUUUGCAAAAAUAUCUAGCUAUCAUCUGUACUUUAUAAUAUUAAGAGGAUAUUGCUCAACUUAGUGUCCAGUUUCUCUAUCAUACAGUUUGGUAGCUUGUUCACUAGAGACAUUUGGUAACAUGUUUGUUCUCAUACUUCACGGUGAUUAAGAAUCGAAGUGCACCGAGAAAUGAGUUGAUGAACCCUCAUGGGUGGUCUCACCAUGCUUAUCAAAGUUCUACUUAUAGGAUGGUUUCAUGGGCACUCGAGACGAGGAGACAUGCAGAUUUUUCAAGAAUUCUUCAGUGCAGGUAUUGCUUUGCCCACGAUCUACUGGGAAAUGACACAGCUGGGUGAAACAGCAGGAAACAGGAACCAUUUUUACUCAUCAUCAGAAAACAGUUAUUGUGGAUGCUGAUGCUGGCAAUUAUAGGAGAAAGAUAAUUGCUUUUGUCGGAGGCCUUGAUUUAUGUGGUGGGCGAUAUGAUACACCUUGGCAUCCUCUGUUUCAGACUCUUCAGACUGUUCACAAGGAGGAUUAUUACAAUCCCAACUUUGCUACAGUUGAUGCUCGUGGCCCAAGGCAACCGUGGCACGACUUGCAUUCCAAGAUUGACGGUCCAGCUGCUUAUGAUGUUCUGCAAAACUUUCAGAGCGUCGGUUAAAGGUGGCCAAACGUCAUGGGAUUAAAAAGUUGGCAAAAUCGUAUGAUGAUGCUCUGCUCAGUAUUGAAAGAAUACCGGAGAUUAUAAACAUAAAUGAUGCAACAUAUUUUACUGACAAUGAUCCAGAGACAUGGCAUGUUCAGGUAUUUAUAGUUUUGUAUAUAGUUGGAAAAAAGAAACAUUUGCCCCUCUUGUUAUUCCGUCUUUCAAGCAUUGACCUUUCUUUACUUUGAAAUUCAGGUGUUUGGAUCUAUUGAUUCAAACUCUGCCAAGGGAUUUGCAAAGGACCCACGAGAAGCAACUAGGAAGGUGUUCUUUUGCCAAGGUUGUGUCACGUUUGCUAUGGUGCCAUAUCACUUUUGUUUAACAAAUUUUUGGCGUCCGUUGCAACGCACGAGUAGAAAACUAGUCUCCUUCAGAAAUCAGAAUAAAUAUUGGAACAGAUUCAAUAUCCAUUACCCACACUUUAAUGAUCACCCUUGAUAAGUGAUGAGAUUCUUCCUCCCAAAGGACCAAACGACCAAAAUAACUAAUAGCAGCUUCAAUACAAUG
This is a long non-coding RNA of Phragmites australis (common reed), 1451 nucleotides long. RefSeq lists it as uncharacterized. The record is from RefSeq and is a predicted model, not a curated record. Lineage: Eukaryota; Viridiplantae; Streptophyta; Magnoliopsida; Poales; Poaceae. The transcript has 3 exons.